Molecule: ribosomal RNA, 468 nt
Filed under: uncultured bacterium
Lineage: Bacteria
Description: partial 16S ribosomal RNA
Rfam family: Bacterial small subunit ribosomal RNA
Source: RNAcentral
GACGAACGCUGGCGGCGUGCUUAACACAUGCAAGUCGAACGGAAAGGCCCUGCUUUUGUGGGGUGCUCGAGUGGCGAACGGGUGAGUAACACGUGAGUAACCUGCCCUUGACUUUGGGAUAACUUCAGGAAACUGGGGCUCAUACCGGAUAGGAGCUCCUGCUGCAUGGUGGGGGUUGGAAAGUUUCGGCGGUUGGGGAUGGACUCGCGGCUUAUCAGCUUGUUGGUGGGGUAGUGGCUUACCAAGGCUUUGACGGGUAGCCGGCCUGAGAGGGUGACCGGCCACAUUGGGACUGAGAUACGGCCCAGACUCCUACGGGAGGCAGCAGUGGGGAAGAUUGCACAAUGGGCGGAAGCCUGAUGCAGCAACGCCGCGUGCGGGAUGACGGCCUUCGGGUUGUAAACCGCUUUCGCCUGUGACGAAGCGUGAGUGACGGUAAUGGGUAAAGAAGCACCGGCUAACUACGUG